CCUCGCUCUGCACUGAGGGCCUGGAGCGCCCGCCCCUCGCCGGCCUUUUCAGGUGCACAGGACGAGGCAGCUGCGCGGACGCCCCCUCGGUCCUGCCUCUCUCAACUUCACCCUCUAAAGUCCUCGGCCUGGGUGGCAGCGCCCCCUACGGGACACUGGGCAAGUCUAAGACGCCCUUGGUUGGCACAACCGGGAAGAGAGUGCUGCUGGCACGAGGUGGAGGUCUGGGGCACUGCUCAGCACUUCAGGGCGCAGGACACCUUGGGGGGACGGCCUGCCCCGGCCGGGAUCCCCGGUGCCGAGGGUGAGGGAGCCCUGUCAGAGAAUAGAGGAACAAGCUGCCUGUUGGAGAUGGCAAGAGGAGACCCUGCACCCCAAGCUUCCUCCCUUGUCAGCAGGGGCUGCCCUGUCCCUCCCUGUCCCUGUCUGCCACCAUCCAGUCGCCCACACCCGCUCCUACUCCAAUGCUUUUAUGCAGAACCAAUGGAGGAGAUAAAAAUGCAUUCUGCAAACAGUACUGAGAAUCAACAAACGGGAUCGUAUCAAACUAAAAAGCUUCUGCACAGCAAAAGAAACAACCAACGGGGAAGAGAAAGCCUACAGAACAGGAAAAAUGUUUGCCAGUGAUUCCUCAGACAGAGGACUGACAUCUAGACUAUAGAAAUAACUCAAAAAGAUUAGACCCCCCCCCAAAAAAUAAAAGACCCAGUCAAAAAAUGGACAAGUGAAACAAACAGACUUCUCGGAAGAAGUACAAAUGGCCAAUAAUUACGUGAUGAAACGGUCAACAUCGUCAGCCAGUAGAGAAAGUACAUUAAAACAACACUGAGCGUCCAUCUUACCCUAGGAAGAAUGGCCAUCAUAACAAACGCUGAUUGACGACCCAAAGGCCGGUGUCGUGGAAAUGAGCCAGUCACGUGACCUGUGGUCGUCCACGCAGCCCUGGAAACGCUCAAGACCCCGCACUCCGCCCAAGCGGACGUCUUAAGCCUCUGCUUCCGGUGCUGAGAGCUCUGAACACCCUGGAAGGCACCAAAGCUCAACGCGUACGAAAUUAUAUUUCAGCUUUUGCCAAAAUGUUUUCUGAACUGCUG
This 1094-nucleotide long non-coding RNA is filed under the name Heterocephalus glaber (naked mole-rat). RNAcentral's name for it is "lncRNA (ENSHGLG00100050183.1)". Lineage: Eukaryota; Metazoa; Chordata; Mammalia; Rodentia; Bathyergidae. The record is from RNAcentral.